Molecule: ribosomal RNA, 478 nt
Filed under: uncultured bacterium
Lineage: Bacteria
Description: partial 16S ribosomal RNA
Rfam family: Bacterial small subunit ribosomal RNA
Source: RNAcentral
GACGAACGCUGGCGGCGUGCUUAACACAUGCAAGUCGAACGGUAAGGCCCUUCGGGGUACACGAGUGGCGAACGGGUGAGUAACACGUGGGUGAUCUGCCCUGCACUUCAGGAUAAGCCUGGGAAACUGGGUCUAAUACCGGAUAGGACCACUGCCUGCAUGGGUGGUGGUGGAAAGCUUUUGCGGUGUGGGAUGGGCCCGCGGCCUAUCAGCUUGUUGGUGGGGUGAUGGCCUACCAAGGCGACGACGGGUAGCCGGCCUGAGAGGGUGACCGGCCACACGGGGACUGGGAUACGGCCCAGACUCCUACGGGAGGCAGCAGUGGGGAAUAUUGCACAAUGGGUGCAAGCCUGAUGCAGCGACGCCGCGUGAGGGAUGACGGCCUUCGGGUUGUAAACCUCUUUCAGCACCGACGAAGCGCAAGUGACGGUAGGUGCAGAAGAAGGACCGGCCAACUACGUGCCAGCAGCCGCCGUAA